AUUUGAGCACUGCUGCCGAUAAGAAAGCCAAGCGCAUAAGGCGGGCUACGCUGCAUGACAAAUUUUGUACUCAUCUAAAUGAUCCCCUGCAUGUUCCUACGAGAGGAUAUAAACUGUUACAUUUCAUUAGAAAUGUUUCAGCUCCAUCACAUCCCCCGACGAAGACAAAGGCGCGACAUCGGAAGAGAAC
This is a long non-coding RNA of Neodiprion fabricii, 190 nucleotides long. RefSeq lists it as uncharacterized. The transcript is spliced from 3 exons. The record is from RefSeq and is a predicted model, not a curated record. NCBI's taxonomy places the organism in Eukaryota, Metazoa, Arthropoda, Insecta, Hymenoptera, Diprionidae.